This is a long non-coding RNA of Mastomys coucha (southern multimammate mouse), 214 nucleotides long. RefSeq lists it as uncharacterized. The record is from RefSeq and is a predicted model, not a curated record. The transcript is spliced from 2 exons. Lineage: Eukaryota; Metazoa; Chordata; Mammalia; Rodentia; Muridae.
UGCAUCGUCACCAGCACCUAGUGCUUUUAUGUUUUUAACUGUAGCCAUUCAGCCUGGGGGAGUUAACAUCUCAGUUUACUUUUUAUUUCCAUUUCCUUGAUGGGUAAAGAUGCCGCGUGCAGCUACAUACGGAUGGAGUCUUCUGGACGAGAAGGAACCUAGGAGAAAUUAAGGGAAUCGGAUGGCAAGUGGAAUAAAUAAAAAAAAAAUGGGA